ACAUAUCAAUAAGCGGAGGAAAAGAAACCAACAGGGAUUGCCCUAGUAACGGCGAGUGAAGCGGCAACAGCUCAAAUUUGAAAUCUGGCGCAAGCCCGAGUUGUAAUUUGCAGAGGAUGCUUCGGCGUCGGCCCCGUUCUAAGUUCCUUGGAACAGGACGUCCUAGAGGGUGAGAACCCCGUCUUCGAUCGGGUCGCCUUCGCCAUGUGAAGCUCCUUCGACGAGUCGAGUUGUUUGGGAAUGCAGCUCUAAGCGGGAGGUAAAUUUCUUCUAAAGCUAAAUAACGGCCAGAGACCGAUAGCGCACAAGUAGAGUGAUCGAAAGAUGAAAAGCACUUUGGAAAGAGAGUUAAAAAGCACGUGAAAUUGUUAAAAGGGAAGCUCAUGCUGCCAGACUUGGCCGAGGCUCUUCGGGGCUUCGGGCAGGCCAGCAUCAGUUCGGGGGGCCUGAUAAAGGUCUCGGCAAUGUAGCUCCCCCGGGAGUGUUAUAGGCCGAGGCGUAAUGGGGCCAUCCUGGACUGAGGAUCGCGUUCGCUAGGAUGCUGGCGUAAUGGCAGUAUGCGACCCGUCUUGAAACACGGACCAAGGAGUCUAACAUCUAUGCGAGUGUUUGGGUGUAAAACCCAUGCGCGUAAUGAAAGUGAACGGAGGUGGGAACCGCAAGGUGCACCAUCGACCGAUCCUGAUGUCUUCGGAUGGAUUUGAGUAAGAGCAUAGCUGUUGGGACCCGAAAGAUGGUGAACUAUGCCUGAAUAGGGUGAAGCCAGAGGAAACUCUGGUGGAGGCUCGCAGCGGUUCUGACGUGCAAAUCGAUCGUCAAAUUUGGGUAUAGGGGCGAAAGACUAAUCGAACCAUCUAGUAGCUGGUUCCAGC
RNAcentral lists this ribosomal RNA (872 nucleotides) under Parapyrenis conica. RNAcentral describes it as "LSU rRNA". It matches the Rfam family "Eukaryotic large subunit ribosomal RNA", at positions 38 to 961 of the family's 3401-position model. The record is from RNAcentral. Lineage: Eukaryota; Fungi; Ascomycota; Sordariomycetes; Xylariales; Requienellaceae.